RNAcentral lists this ribosomal RNA (300 nucleotides) under uncultured bacterium. RNAcentral's name for it is "bacterial SSU rRNA". It matches the Rfam family "Bacterial small subunit ribosomal RNA", at positions 114 to 431 of the family's 1533-position model. The record is from RNAcentral.
CACGUUGGUAUCUGCCCCCAAGUCAGGGAUAGCCAUUGGAAACGAUGAUUAAUACCGGAUAGUCUCUUCGGAGUAAAGAUUUAUUGCUUGGGGAGGAGCCUGCGUUCUAUCAGCUAGUUGGUGAGGUAAUAGCUCACCAAGGCAAUGACGGAUAGUUGGUCUGAGAGGAUGAUCAGCCACAAUGGAACUGAGACACGGUCCAUACUCCUACGGGAGGCAGCAGUGAGGAAUCUUCCACAAUGGACGAAAGUCUGAUGGAGCGACACCGCGUGAAGGAUGAAGGCCUAACGGUUGUAAACU